RNAcentral lists this transfer RNA (76 nucleotides) under Alphaproteobacteria bacterium. Its description in RNAcentral is "tRNA-Trp". It matches the Rfam family "tRNA". Rfam says of the family: Transfer RNA (tRNA) molecules are approximately 80 nucleotides in length. RNAcentral also lists the same sequence under 1 other name. Lineage: Bacteria; Pseudomonadati; Pseudomonadota; Alphaproteobacteria. The record is from RNAcentral.
ACGGGUAUAGCUCAGUUGGUAGAGCAUCGGUCUCCAAAACCGAGGGUCCUGGGUUCAAGUCCUAGUGCCCGUGCCA